Long non-coding RNA from Pezoporus flaviventris, 1738 nucleotides. RefSeq lists it as uncharacterized. The record is from RefSeq and is a predicted model, not a curated record. NCBI's taxonomy places the organism in Eukaryota, Metazoa, Chordata, Aves, Psittaciformes, Psittacidae. The transcript has 4 exons.
GCCAAAUUGGAAGUCCAUGAAAACAAAUGGAAAUCUUUCUCUAUGUUCAGUUUACUUGGAACCAGUUCCUAUGCCAAUACAUGAACAUCUGAUGUCAUUCAAGCUGCACAAGGUAAUUCUGCAUUGUUGAUACUCUAGAAGGAACAGAAGAACUUCAUGGAACGUUGCAUGAAAUACCUGGAGUGCAGUCCAAGUGCCAAGUCCCAGAAGGAGAAGAUACAGUAUAGGCCAUCAGCAGCUGGCUGGAAGCCCUCUGAAUCAGGACAAGUUGUUCUCUUGAAUUUGGUGACUUUGCACUGGACUGUUGUUGGGUAAAGUUUAUGUCAGUUUUUAUUCCUGUUUGCUUUCAACAAACACUCCAAGCAAAAAAGAAAACUUAUGUCCUGAAAAUAAGAUGAAAGUACAGAAUGGAGCAAUACCUGCACAUAUGAAAUGACUUUUGAUGCCAGAAAGUAGGAGAGUUUAGCAGGCUAGGAGAUCAUCCAGGGAACUCUGCAAGAACAAUGAUGUUCUGCUGCUUGCUCAUAAAUGCAUACCUUUGAUUCUCCUGAAGUUCACUUUUGUACAUCAUACUGAAACCAUAUUAGCAUUGGCUCUGUCCUGCAAAAAUGUGAUCAUAAAUGUUCAUGUACAAGGCGCCACAUGUAUUUCCUUUGAUAAUGUUCCUAAGUUCUUUUAUUCAUCCUUUGAGAACUGUUGUAAAAGCAAAUAUUUGUUCACAAGAGUAUUUCCAGAAUGUGAAAACGUGACGAACAAUCAUGCAAACAGGUAUCUGUGUGAAUAUUUGAAUAGCAGGUUUGCUUUAAAGUCCUCCUGAUGUUAAGGAUCUGAAUGAGAGAGAACAGAGUACCUUCAAUAGUAAAGGCAGAAAUAACCCCCUCCCCCUCAAAAAAAAAACCAAAGAAUUCCAAAACCAGACAAAAUUUGGAGGUUCCCCAAAUCAGAGUGGUUUCUUAUAACUUUGCUAUACUAGGCAGAAUUCUAAUCUCUUUUUAAUUCAAAUUCCUUCAACAAAAGGCUAAGUGAAAUCAUUAUUAUGCUAACAGAAAAGGCCUUUUAAAGUAUGGGAUGCUCAAUACACAGCAGAACCCUCUGCUGCUUCAAUCCAAGCUAAUGCUCUAAGUUCUUUAGUAGAUCCAGGCACCUUUUAACAAUUUUCUCCUUUUGAGUUUAUGACUUGUUGGUGUAAGGUUGUGGAAACCUCUUAAAUGCUUAUACUUUUUAGUCUGGUGAUUAUUUUUCUAUGUCAACAAAUAGGAUUGAAACCUCCAUGGGUUUAUGAAAGUUUUGGAUUCAGGUCUUUUACUUCCAUGGAAGUGCUUUGACCACAUAAAUGCCAACACUGCAAACAUGCGGAAGACCCAAAGAGUUAUGCUUCUAGUAUAUCUUGCAAUAUUGUGUUACCAUCAAGGAUUCUGUUAGGGAUGUGGCUGAAGAAAGACCUGUAUGUACUUAGCUCAUUGAAAAUACUGUUGAAGACAUGCACAAACACAGAUUUAGACUACUGAGGAGGUGUCUAAAUUCACCGGUGUCUGUGUCUAAAUUAAUACUUCCCUGGAAGGCUGAAUAUCUCCAUAGAAAGCACCAUAUUACUAGGUCCUUUUAAAUGUAGACAAAGCCUCUUUCAUCAAGCAAAUCUUCCACAGAGCUGUAACACUGAAAUACUUAGUCUGUUUGGCAGAUCUACCUGGAAAAUAGGGACAGUUCCCAGCCAAAAUGGCCAAUCUGUCUGCCCUUC